CCUACGGGAGGCAGCAGUGGGGAAUUUUGGACAAUGGGCGCAAGCCUGAUCCAGCAAUGCCGCGUGCAGGAUGAAGGCCUUCGGGUUGUAAACUGCUUUUGUACGGAACGAAAAAGUCUGCCCUAAUACGGUGGGCCCAUGACGGUACCGUAAGAAUAAGCACCGGCUAACUACGUGCCAGCAGCCGCGGUAAUACGUAGGGUGCGAGCGUUAAUCGGAAUUACUGGGCGUAAAGCGUGCGCAGGCGGUUUAUAUAAGACAGAUGUGAAAUCCCCGGGCUCAACCUGGGACCUGCAUUUGUGACUGUAUAGCUAGAGUACGGUAGAGGGGGAUGGAAUUCCGCGUGUAGCAGUGAAAUGCGUAGAUAUGCGGAGGAACACCGGAUGGCGAAGGCAAUCCCCUGGACCUGUACUGACGCUCAUGCACGAAAGCGUGGGGAGCAAACAGGAUUAGAUACCCUGGUAGUCCACGCCCUAAACGAUGUCAACUGGUUGUUGGGUCUUCACUGACUCAGUAACGAAGCUAACGCGUGAAGUUGACCGCCUGGGGAAGUCGGCCGCAAGGUUGAAACGUCAAAGUAGUAGUCGCGNGNGAGAGACGACGACGACGACGAGGAGGGAGG
This 622-nucleotide ribosomal RNA is filed under the name uncultured bacterium. RNAcentral describes it as "bacterial SSU rRNA". It matches the Rfam family "Bacterial small subunit ribosomal RNA", at positions 338 to 951 of the family's 1533-position model. The record is from RNAcentral.